UAGGAGGGUUUCCGCCCUUUAGUGCUGAAGUUAACGCAUUAAGCACUCCGCCUGGGGAGUACGGCCGCAAGGCUGAAACUCAAAGGAAUUGACGGGGGCCCGCACAAGCGGGGGAGCAUGUGGUUUAAUUCGAAGCAACGCGAAGAACCUUACCAGGUCUUGACAUCCUCUGACAACCCUAGAGAUAGGGCUUCUCCUUCGGGAGCAGAGUGACAGGUGGUGCAUGGUUGUCGUCAGCUCGUGUCGUGAGAUGUUGGGUUAAGUCCCGCAACGAGCGCAACCCUUGAUCUUAGUUGCCAUCAUUAAGUUGGGCACUCUAAGGUGACUGCCGGUGACAAACCGGAGGAAGGUGGGGAUGACGUCAAAUCAUCAUGCCCCUUAUGACCUGGGCUACACACGUGCUACAAUGGACGGAACAAAGAGCUGCAAGACCGCGAGGUGGAGCUAAUCUCAUAAAACCGUUCUCAGUUCGGAUUGUAGGCUGCAACUCGCCUACAUGAAGCUGGAAUCGCUAGUAAUCGCGGAUCAGCAUGCCGCGGUGAAUACGUUCCCGGGCCUUGUACACACCGCCCGUCACACCACGAGAGUUUGUAACACCCGAAGUCGGUGGGGUAACCUUUUGGA
RNAcentral lists this ribosomal RNA (624 nucleotides) under Bacillus thuringiensis. Its description in RNAcentral is "bacterial SSU rRNA". It matches the Rfam family "Bacterial small subunit ribosomal RNA", at positions 823 to 1447 of the family's 1533-position model. The record is from RNAcentral. Lineage: Bacteria; Bacillati; Bacillota; Bacilli; Caryophanales; Bacillaceae.